UCGCUUAAUUAUAUAUAUCUCCCUUAUUUAGAAAGGAGAGUUGGAGAUGACUAACACAGCAUCAGAUAAUUGUACCAAAAGUAACAUCAAUUGUACUAUAAAUUUGAAUUCAUUUUAUUUCUUUAUUUUCUUAGUAAACCACGUGGGUCCUUUUUUGAGAGACACAUAUUUUUUUUUGUCUUUGUGGGAGACAACUGGCCUCCACAUUCAUUUUCACCUGCACUCCCCCAAAUACUCCUCCAUUUUUCUUUAAUUUCUCUCUUUCUCUCACUACUAAGCCAUAUCUUUUCUCUCCAUGGUUGAUUCAUUCCUAUGCUCCGUGGUUGAAGUUGAUGGAUGCUACAAUGAGAGAUUAUGAAUGAACUAUUCAAAGUUACUGCAUAAGUUCUAUAACUCGGUCCUCGCAUAGCAUUCACCAAUCCAAGAGCUAUAUUAUUUAGCACUACUAGACAAUAUUAGGAAGUAAAACUACUGAAAAACUUCAGUUGUUAGUUGUUGCGUGUUUAUUCCGAGAUGUCAAUAUGGGGAAAAAUGUUCUUUCGAUAUGGAUUUGAAGGUUACCAGAAUAUUUCAGCAGGGUAUCUUUUAGGUGUUGGCAAACCCUAUUAUAUUUUUUCACUUCUAAGUUUCAUUUCUCCACAAGUCUUCUUCCAGAUCAGUUGCUUGAUAAAAGAGGUAAUGAAAUCAGCAUAUGACUUGGUUUUCUGCAAGGAAAAUGUGAUCUAAUAUGUAGGUACCUAAGUCUUCCUAUGUACUAGAACUUUAAACGUCAGAAAUGUAAACCAUAAGUCAAGUCUUUCAAUGGAGCUCUUAAUUUGGUUUUUUCAAACUAAUACCAAUUCUAUCUCAUUUCAGGUUAGUGCAUAACCAUGUCAUAUACUUGGUCUCUUGGUUACUGCUUUAGCAACUAGCCAUUAGUAUUCACGUGGUUCUUUCAUGAUAUAGAGGAGGCAAAGCACACGGUAACUGGUGAAGAUAGGAGUUAAGGAGAGAGAACACAAUCCCAAAUUGCCUUUUCUUACCACGCAAAAACAGGGGGCAAUAACAUUUAUUUAGAGAUGAGUAUUAGAAAAGGCUAUCUGUAACUGUAAUGUUUUAUUGUUGGGAUGAUCUUAGGCACUUAUUAUAAUUCAAUUUAAAGAAUCCUGAUUAGGAGCAUAUUAUAAUUUGUACAUAAA
Solanum lycopersicum (tomato) is the source of this 1178-nucleotide long non-coding RNA. RefSeq lists it as uncharacterized. The record is from RefSeq and is a predicted model, not a curated record. Lineage: Eukaryota; Viridiplantae; Streptophyta; Magnoliopsida; Solanales; Solanaceae.